Molecule: non-coding RNA, 97 nt
Organism: Paramuricea clavata
Lineage: Eukaryota; Metazoa; Cnidaria; Anthozoa; Malacalcyonacea; Plexauridae
Source: the annotation of a GenBank genome assembly
CAAAGUUGAUCGUGUUUAUGACGUCGAAUAUCGACGUCAUAAACAUCUAAGUUGAUCGUGUUUAUGACGUCGAAUAUCGACGUCAUAAACACCAAAG